Molecule: long non-coding RNA, 2521 nt
Organism: Daktulosphaira vitifoliae (grape phylloxera)
Lineage: Eukaryota; Metazoa; Arthropoda; Insecta; Hemiptera; Phylloxeridae
Exons: 3
Source: RefSeq, a predicted model, not a curated record
UCAACGUCAAUGCAUUUUUUCACCGUAAACAUUUUCAAAAUUAACUAUUUAAUUAAUAACUUUUAAAAUAAUAUUCUCUUAACAGCAAAUUCUAGUGGAAAUAUUAACACUGAAACAAAUACAGUUAAACCAAAAAAGCGAACCUAUCGUAAACAGCUUGAAAGUGAUGAAAUUAUUGCAGAAAAAGUGGUAAUUAAAAUUGUAUAGAUAUAUCGACCCUUCCAAUUUAGUAGAAAUAAUUUAAUAUUUGUUAUUAUCUAGAGCAGCUGUAUAAAUGUAUUAUUUUUCGAGAUAUUAGUAAAAGAUUGUAAAUAAUUUCAAUUUUAACAACUUAAUCUUUUUUAUUUCCAAUAAGGUUUUUAAAUAAAAGAGACUUUUUAUGGAAGAUAAUAAUUACGUAUUAAUUAUAUUCCAAUUAUUCAUUUUAAUUUGUCAUUGGUGACGCCUAGAAAUUGAUACAGCGAGGAGAUAUUGGAACACUUAUUAGGAAUCAAAAAUAUGGAGAGAAACUAUCAGUUCCAACCAAAAAAAGUUAUAUACCAAUUGUAAAUGACAAAGCACCAAAAAUACCAGCAUAUUUAUUAGGAAAAGUAAAUUUUAUUCUGCAUUGUUUUAUAUUCAAAAAUUAUACAAGUAGCCUAAACAUAUCUUUUGACUUAACGUAGAUUUUUUCAAUAAAUUAACUAAAAUUUAUCCCAUAAUUUAAUAUAUUCUUAUGAUUCGUUAAGAGUUUUCAUAAGAAUCAUUUGCAUCGCAACAAAUGCGAUGAAAAAAAGCAACCCAUAGAAGUAUCUUCCAAUGAUAAUGAUGGCCCUAAUAUAGAAAGUAACUUAUCCGAAGAACAUGAUGAAGUCAUUAAAAAAUUAUAAGCUAAUAAUGAACCUUCAAAUGACGUUACAAAACCUGAAGUGUCUACUGAUAAAGUAAAAGAAACUCCAGAAGAGAAAAUAAUUCAUUUAGAACCCGCAAAAUAUGAAGUAAAAGAGCAACUCCUAGAGAUAUCCUCUUCUGAAAGUUCAAAUUUAAAAAGAAAGUCAUCCGAAAAAGAUGAGAAAAUCAUAAAAAAGGCAAAAAUUAGUUCUGAACUCUUACAUGCGACAACGUCAAAUGACGUUACAAUACUAGAAGUGUCUAAUGAUAAAACAAAAGAAACUCUAGAAGAAAAAAUAAUUGAUUUACAACCCGCAAAAUGUAAAAUAAAAGAACAACUACCGGAAUUAUCCUGUAACACUACCGAAAGCCCAAAUUUAAAAAGAAAGUCAUCCGAAAAAGAUGAGAAAAUCAUAAAAAGUACACUAUAAUCUUUUUUUAUAAAUAUUCACCUGCAUAUUAUGAUUAUUUAAAUUGUUUUCUUUAAAUUUUUAAAAUUUCAAAAAUGUUGAAUGACGUUACUUUACCAGAAACGCCUGUGAACACAUAUAAUAAACUAAUAGAAUAUAAACAGCUCAUCCAGUUUACUUCCAAUACUACUGACGACCAUAACUUCAAAAAAAAACUCAUUUGAAAAACAUAAAGAAGACACAAAAAAUACAUAAAAAAAUUAACCUGCAUUUUCACUAUUGACACAAUUUACUUACACUUUUAAACUUAAAUAAUUUUAGAGUUGGAAGUUAACAUUUAAACAUUUGUGUUCGAGAACAUGGAAUGACGUUAUUUCACCACUUAUGUCCACCGAUGACACAAAUAAUAAGCUGGAAGAAAAAAAACAAUCCAUUGAAUAAACUACAAAUGAUAUUGAUCGCCCUAACAUAGAAAGUAGCUCAUCUAAGACUGAUAAAAAAGAUAUUAAAAGUACAUAAAAAAAUUUAAUCUACAUUUUGAUUAUUGAAAAAUGUUAAUAUCUUUAAAGACACUUGAUAGAUCAUUUCUUUAAUUUUAAGUUAAUAAAAUAAAUGUUUUUAAUUUAAAAAAAAUUAAGUUUUACUACUUAAAAGAAGAAAGUGGGAGGAUAUGAACAAUUUUUUUUUUUUGAAAUACUAGAAAUAGGAUUCUAUUAAUUUCUGAAAAGAAAAUAUUAUGAUAUGUGUUAUACUUUCUAGUAAAUAAUUAUUUUAUUAAAAUAUUCCUAGAACCUGAGUGGACUUUAUAUAAAAAAAUUUAUAAAUGCUUAAUGUUAUAAUUAAAGUUUUUAUAGAUCAGUAAAAAGUAUUUAAUAAAACAAAAUAAUUUUUAGUUAAAAUAACAUUAUUACUAAUACUACUGUAACUAUAGCACACGAAACUAGAACAAUACGAUUAAUAAUCAACCUAAUGAAUUUUACCAAAAAAAACCAACUUAGUUUACAUAAAACCUACACUUGUUUUAAAUUUUGGUCUAUCAUAAUAAAAAUAAUAUAACGUCAAAAAAUUACAAUUUUUCUCCCCUUUGGUAGAAAAGAACAGCUGCCGGCUGUUGGAUACGCAUCACGAGAGGGCGUUUUUUUAAAUUUGUUGUUAUGACUGAUAACGCCACUCGCACUACCACCACCGUAUGUAAGAGAAAUUCAUUAUUAUGUCGGAUGAUUACGUACACGAUGGAUGUA